CCUACGGGUGGCAGCAGUCGAGAAUCAUUCACAAUGGGGGAAACCCUGAUGGUGCGACGCCGCGUGGGGGAAUGAAGGUCUUCGGAUUGUAAACCCCUGUCAUGUGGGAGCAAAUUAAAAAGAUAGUACCACAAGAGGAAGAGACGGCUAACUCUGUGCAAGCACCCGCGGUAAUACAGAGGUCUCAAGCGUUGUUCGGAAUCACUGGGCGUAAGGCGUGCGCAGGCUGUUUCGUAAGUCGUGUGUGAAAGGCGCGGGCUCAACCCGCGGACGGCACAUGAUACUGCGAGACUAGAGUAAUGGAGGGGGAACCGGAAUUCUCGGUGUAGCAGUGAAAUGCGUAGAUAUCGGGAGGAACACUCGUGGCGAAGGCGGGUUCCUGGACAUUAACUGACGGUGAGGCACGAAGGCCAGGGGAGCGAAAGGGAUUAGAUACCCGAGUAGUC
Molecule: ribosomal RNA, 446 nt
Filed under: uncultured bacterium
Lineage: Bacteria
Description: partial 16S ribosomal RNA
Rfam family: Bacterial small subunit ribosomal RNA
Source: RNAcentral